CGCUGUCGCACCGGGGCCGCCGUUAACGCUCCGGGGGCGGAGCGGCGCGCGACAGGGCCGGCAGGGGGCCCGGUGCAGCCCCGGCCCGUCCGGUCCGUCCCGGAUCCGGUUGCGGCAGCGCCCGACGGGGGCUGCCGGGGGUCUCCGGCUCCGCUUCCCCCGCUUAGUACCGGGGAACCGGUGCAGGGCACACGGCGGCGGCGAUGGACGGCGGGGCGGCGGCAUGAGGCGGCGGAGGCGGCGGGGAGCAUGGCGGCGGCGGGCGGCGGCGGGGCGCGGCGGGGACUGCUGAAGCGGAAGCCGAACUUCACGCUGCAGGAGCUGGAGGUGCUGAUGAGCGAAGUGCUCCGAUACGAGCCGCUGCUGUUCGGCGCCGCCGCCGGUACCGUGAACGCGUACGAGAAGCAGAAGAUCUGGUGGCGGAUCACGCACAAGGUGAACGCCGCCGGCCGCCACCAGCGCGACAUCGGCGAGGUGAAGAACCGCUGGCGGGGGCUGCGCCGCCGCGCCGGGGACAAGAUCAGCCGGCACCGGCUGGAGCGGCAGGGCCCGGCCGGCAGGGCCGCCGCCAGGAACGGGAACACCGGGAGCACCGGGAAUAACGGGAGCAACGGGAACGGCGCGGCCGAGCCCGGAGCGGGGCCCGCCCCCGCCCCCGCCCCCGUCUGGGGUCCUCGCAGCGCCGCCGGAACCGAGCCUUCGAUGCGCAGCGCCGAGGGGUCGGCACAGCACGGUGUAAAGGAGGAGCCGGUAAAGGAGGAGCCUUUGGAGGUGAAGACUGAGCCCUUCCACGGUCCCGCUGCCGACGGCGCUCCCGGCCGCGGCUCAGACUGUCGGCUGCCCCGCACCGGCAUCUGCCCGCCCAGCGAGCUGUGCCAGGGCUGGAGCCGGAGCCCCCCGCGCUCCGCACCCUCCGAACUCCCCCUCGGCGACCUUCGCGGGCCGCAGGAGCCGCUGGGCUCCGACUUCCCGAGUCUGCUGUUGGAGCAGGAGGCCGAGCAGCUCAGUCACUGCGGCGCGGGAGAGGCGGGGCCCCCCGGGGGGCUGGACGGGACCCCCGAGCGCCCCCAGCUCAGCCUCGUGCAGUCCAACGAGCGGCUGGUGCAGGAGCUGCGGGCGUUCCGCCGGGAAUACGCCGAGAGCCGCCGGGAGACCGCGGCCGUGCUGCGCGGCAUCGCCCAGGCGCUGGGCGGGCUCAGCCGCAGCCUGGCCGAAAUCCGUGACCUCUACCUCCGGGAGCGGGGGGUCCCCGAAUCCUGAGCCUCCCACGCAGCUGGCUGUGUACACACACCCCAGAACCCACGUCGCUUGCUUUUAUUAUUAUUUCUUUUCCUGUCCAUCCCACUUCAAUAAAACUCGGAGCUUCUCCCCCA
Molecule: long non-coding RNA, 1373 nt
Filed under: Junco hyemalis (dark-eyed junco)
Lineage: Eukaryota; Metazoa; Chordata; Aves; Passeriformes; Passerellidae
Description: lncRNA (ENSJHYG00000011340.1)
Source: RNAcentral